This 1472-nucleotide ribosomal RNA is filed under the name Limosilactobacillus reuteri. RNAcentral describes it as "bacterial SSU rRNA". It matches the Rfam family "Bacterial small subunit ribosomal RNA". Lineage: Bacteria; Bacillati; Bacillota; Bacilli; Lactobacillales; Lactobacillaceae. The record is from RNAcentral.
GGGUACAUUGGAAGUACAGCUGGUAAGAGACCUCGAUAGGCGUAGCAAGGAGUGAUUGCAUGGUGCUUGCUCUGAUUGACGAUGGAUCACCAGUGAGUGGCGGACGGGUGAGUAACACGUAGGUAACCUGCCCCGGAGCGGGGGAUAACAUUUGGAAACAGAUGCUAAUACCGCAUAACAACAAAAGCCACAUGGCUUUUGUUUGAAAGAUGGCUUUGGCUAUCACUCUGGGAUGGACCUGCGGUGCAUUAGCUAGUUGGUAAGGUAACGGCUUACCAAGGCGAUGAUGCAUAGCCGAGUUGAGAGACUGAUCGGCCACAAUGGAACUGAGACACGGUCCAUACUCCUACGGGAGGCAGCAGUAGGGAAUCUUCCACAAUGGGCGCAAGCCUGAUGGAGCAACACCGCGUGAGUGAAGAAGGGUUUCGGCUCGUAAAGCUCUGUUGUUGGAGAAGAACGUGCGUGAGAGUAACUGUUCACGCAGUGACGGUAUCCAACCAGAAAGUCACGGCUAACUACGUGCCAGCAGCCGCGGUAAUACGUAGGUGGCAAGCGUUAUCCGGAUUUAUUGGGCGUAAAGCGAGCGCAGGCGGUUGCUUAGGUCUGAUGUGAAAGCCUUCGGCUUAACCGAAGAAGUGCAUCGGAAACCGGGCGACUUGAGUGCAGAAGAGGACAGUGGAACUCCAUGUGUAGCGGUGGAAUGCGUAGAUAUAUGGAAGAACACCAGUGGCGAAGGCGGCUGUCUGGUCUGCAACUGACGCUGAGGCUCGAAAGCAUGGGUAGCGAACAGGAUUAGAUACCCUGGUAGUCCAUGCCGUAAACGAUGAGUGCUAGGUGUUGGAGGGUUUCCGCCCUUCAGUGCCGGAGCUAACGCAUUAAGCACUCCGCCUGGGGAGUACGACCGCAAGGUUGAAACUCAAAGGAAUUGACGGGGGCCCGCACAAGCGGUGGAGCAUGUGGUUUAAUUCGAAGCUACGCGAAGAACCUUACCAGGUCUUGACAUCUUGCGCUAACCUUAGAGAUAAGGCGUUCCCUUCGGGGACGCAAUGACAGGUGGUGCAUGGUCGUCGUCAGCUCGUGUCGUGAGAUGUUGGGUUAAGUCCCGCAACGAGCGCAACCCUUGUUACUAGUUGCCAGCAUUAAGUUGGGCACUCUAGUGAGACUGCCGGUGACAAACCGGAGGAAGGUGGGGACGACGUCAGAUCAUCAUGCCCCUUAUGACCUGGGCUACACACGUGCUACAAUGGACGGUACAACGAGUCGCAAGCUCGCGAGAGUAAGCUAAUCUCUUAAAGCCGUUCUCAGUUCGGACUGUAGGCUGCAACUCGCCUACACGAAGUCGGAAUCGCUAGUAAUCGCGGAUCAGCAUGCCGCGGUGAAUACGUUCCCGGGCCUUGUACACACCGCCCGUCACACCAUGGGAGUAUGUCACGCCCAAAGUCAGUUGAUCACGUUUCAGGAAGUCCAAGCAU